UACGAAGGUCCCAAGCGUUGUUCGGAAUCACUGGGCGUAAAGGGAGCGUAGGCGGCGUGGUAAGUCAGAUGUGAAAUCCCGGGGCUCAACCCCGGAACUGCAUCCGAUACUGCCAUGCUAGAGGAUUGGAGAGGUAGCUGGAAUUCUUGGUGUAGCAGUGAAAUGCGUAGAGAUCAAGAGGAACACUCGUGGCGAAAGCGAGCUACUGGACAAUUCCUGACGCUGAGGCUCGAGGGCUAGGGUAGCGAAAGGG
RNAcentral lists this ribosomal RNA (253 nucleotides) under uncultured bacterium. RNAcentral's name for it is "partial 16S ribosomal RNA". It matches the Rfam family "Bacterial small subunit ribosomal RNA", at positions 524 to 776 of the family's 1533-position model. The record is from RNAcentral.